RNAcentral lists this RNase P RNA (383 nucleotides) under Ureibacillus yapensis. Its description in RNAcentral is "Lysinibacillus yapensis Bacterial RNase P class B". It matches the Rfam family "Bacterial RNase P class B". Rfam says of the family: Ribonuclease P (RNase P) is a ubiquitous endoribonuclease, found in archaea, bacteria and eukarya as well as chloroplasts and mitochondria. Lineage: Bacteria; Bacillati; Bacillota; Bacilli; Caryophanales; Caryophanaceae. The record is from Rfam by way of RNAcentral.
CAAUUCGAGUAAUCGCUGCAGCUCUUGAAGUUGUAGAGGAAAGUCCAUGCUCACACGGAUCUGAGAUGACCGUAGUGUUCGUGCUUACUGAAAAAAUAAGGUAAGGCAAGCUAUAUGCUUGACGGCGGAAGGAUAACCUAAGUCGAUUCGAUAUGGUUAACACUUCCUGAAAGUGCCACAGUGACGGAGCUUUAUUGGAAACAAUAAAGGUGGAACGAGGUAAACCCCACGAGUGAGAAACCCAAAUUAUGGUAGGGGCACUCUCCAGAAGGAAAUGAACGGAUGGAGGGACGUUGGUAUUCCAGCGUAGAUAGAUGGUUACUACCCGAUUCGUACGAGACUUCGGUCGUUUGAGUACCCGGGAACAAAACAUGGCUUAUGAA